ACUCCUACGGGAGGCAGCAGUGGGGAAUAUUGCACAAUGGGCGCAAGCCUGAUGCAGCCAUGCCGCGUGUAUGAAGAAGGCCUUCGGGUUGUAAAGUACUUUCAGCAGUGAGGAAGGUGGGUAUGUUAAUAGCAUACUCAUUUGACGUUAGCUGCAGAAGAAGCACCGGCUAACUCCGUGCCAGCAGCCGCGGUAAUACGGAGGGGUGCGAGCGUUAAUCGGAAUUACUGGGCGUAAAGCGCAUGCAGGUGGUUUGUUAAGUCAGAUGUGAAAGCCCGGGGCUCAACCUCGGAAUUGCAUUUGAAACUGGCAAACUAGAGUACUGUAGAGGGGGUAGAAUUUCAGGUGUAGCGGUGAAAUGCGUAGAGAUCUGAAGGAAUACCAAGUGGCGAAGGCGACCACCUGGACUGAUACUGACACUGAGGUGCGAAGCGUGGGGAGCAAACAGGAUUAGAUACCCGU
RNAcentral lists this ribosomal RNA (462 nucleotides) under uncultured bacterium. RNAcentral's name for it is "bacterial SSU rRNA". It matches the Rfam family "Bacterial small subunit ribosomal RNA", at positions 335 to 789 of the family's 1533-position model. The record is from RNAcentral.